RNAcentral lists this long non-coding RNA (805 nucleotides) under Olea europaea subsp. europaea. The record is from RNAcentral. Lineage: Eukaryota; Viridiplantae; Streptophyta; Magnoliopsida; Lamiales; Oleaceae.
UUCUUCUUCUGACGGGAUUUUUCUUUGAUAUUAGUCAGAGUUAAAUAGACCUGAAAUAAUACUCCAAUAUUAAUGGAGAAAAUUCUCCCAACAAUCCCGUGCUUUUUUUUCCUCGGUGCAAGUGCAGCCUUUGGCAGCUACAUAAUGCAGGUUUCUAUUUCUCUAAGGCUACGUUUGGCAUACCAAAUUAGACUGAACUAGAAAUUAUAUAUAAAAUUAGAGGAGUUUAGGUUGAUAGUAUUAGGGUGGAUUAAGAUGGAUUGUAUUGUAUUUAUACGUUUUCGUUCAAAAGUUGCUAUUUAUACUCUCUCUCUUCCGGCCUAAACCCACAUUUUCAUUUUGUGUUAUGUUAUCCAGUUAGACAAGUAACAUAGUGCAAAAAAUAUUCUUUUGACCAAAAUAAAUACUGUCCAACUUAAUUCAUGUAAUAUAUAAUUAGUACAUCUACUCUAAUUUUAUACUCAAUUGCUUAUACUGUAGUUUAAUUUGGUAGUGUCGGUUGGCCAAAAUGGCAAACUUAAAAUUUCACAACGGGUUCAGCUUUCAUAGAAAAAACUGCUCUAAGCAAGGAGUUUCUUGUCAUGCCAGGUUAAUCUGGUUGCAAACAUGAUACAAGUUUUUCGGAUUAAGGGGUCUGGAUUAUAGACAAUAGGGAGAAUUGUAAUAUUCAUGCAUUAUACAGAACUUUUCGGUCAAUGUAACAUAAUCCCUACUGGCCAACACUCUUCCAUGCUUUGGGAAUUUGAUUUUUUCUUACAUUGUCUCUUUGAUUACAUGCUGGUAUGGAUCUUGCUGAUUUCAUUUC